RNAcentral lists this ribosomal RNA (492 nucleotides) under uncultured bacterium. Its description in RNAcentral is "partial 16S ribosomal RNA". It matches the Rfam family "Bacterial small subunit ribosomal RNA", at positions 29 to 507 of the family's 1533-position model. The record is from RNAcentral.
AGUGAACGCUGGCGGUAGGCCUAACACAUGCAAGUCGAACGGCAGCACAGUAAGAGCUUGCUCUUACGGGUGGCGAGUGGCGGACGGGUGAGGAAUACAUCGGAAUCUACUUUUUCGUGGGGGAUAACGUAGGGAAACUUACGCUAAUACCGCAUACGACCUACGGGUGAAAGCAGGGGAUCUUCGGACCUUGCGCGAUUGAAUGAGCCGAUGUCGGAUUAGCUAGUUGGCGGGGUAAAGGCCCACCAAGGCGACGAUCCGUAUCUGGUCUGAGAGGAUGAUCAGCCACACUGGAACUGAGACACGGUCCAGACUCCUACGGGAGGCAGCAGUGGGGAAUAUUGGACAAUGGGCGCAAGCCUGAUCCAGCAAUACCGCGUGGGUGAAGAAGGCCUUCGGGUUGUAAAGCCCUUUUGUUGGGAAAGAAAAGCAGCAGGUUAAUACCCCGCUGUUCUGACGGUACCCAAAGAAUAAGCACCGGCUAACUUCGUG